GACAGAGGGUGCGAACGUUGCUCGGAAUAAUUGGGCGUAAAGCGCGUGUAGGCGGCAUCGCACGUCGGGUGUGAAAGCCCGGGGCUCAACCCCGGCAGUGCACCCGAAACGACGAUGCUAGAGUGCUGGAGAGGCGGGUGGAAUUCCUGGUGUAGAGGUGAAAUGCGUAGAUAUCAGGAGGAACACCGGUGGCGAAGGCGGCUUCCUGGACAAAAACUGACGCUGAGGCGCGAAAGCUAGGGGAGCAAACAGG
This 253-nucleotide ribosomal RNA is filed under the name uncultured bacterium. Its description in RNAcentral is "partial 16S ribosomal RNA". It matches the Rfam family "Bacterial small subunit ribosomal RNA", at positions 524 to 776 of the family's 1533-position model. The record is from RNAcentral.